UUUGCAAAGUUUCCUCAACCAGAAUUCACGACAGACGUCGCCUGCAAAAUGACUGGCAGGGCCAAACGGAAACAUCUCGGGAUUGCACGUGCUUUGCCAUGGCCUAGGGGCUCUGUGCGGUGCCAGGCAGAGAAGGGCAAUGGCAAUAGUCUGAAAAAAAAACCAUGUCUGAAUGAAAUAAGCUUAUGCUUAAACCUGGAAAGAAGGGAUGCUUACUGGAAGAAGUGCUUGGAGGAAUUGGAAGCAUCUAUUACUGAACCCUCCAUUGACAGAAUUUGCCCUAUGGUUAUCAAAAUGGGGCAAAGUCUGUGUCCUGCUAGAGAGUUAUCUCCUCAGACACAUACACAGCAACAGUGGAAAGAAAUAUCUGUUUUCACAUUUGGCUAGCCUGAAGACCGUGCCCCUUCCUCUUAGCUGUGUGUCAUUCCACAUCUAUCCAAGCCUUUGUUACCUCUAGGCAAAGCUAACACAAAGCAUUCUUCUUAGCAGUGGGAGCAAAGGCCCAAAGUAACUUUUGCUCUGAACAACAUUAAGCAGACAGUCUUAAAAGGAAGGAGAAAUUAUUGUGAUAGGCAUUAUAAAAAUAAUCAGAAUAUUUAAGUAUACAAAUUGGCAAGAGCAUAUUGCAUUAGUACUCCAGACUCUCCCUCCAUCUCCAGACCAGCUUCAAAGUCAUCAUCUUUAAUGUGGGUUAACAUGUUAAUAAGUUAGCUAUCUAUAGAAUUCUCCUCCUGCUUCAUUCUGAGAAUGCUAUGAUCAACAGGGACCCAGUGAUUGACACAGUCCAUUCUUAGAUGCAUGGGAGAUUAGGGCAUAACCAUCACACAAGUUUCUUGGCACUGUAGCUCAUGCAGAGUGCAAGUCUUCUCAUGGUCAGAGUAUGAUACCAGACUCUCCUUUUUGUAAAAGCCUUCUGUCAAUAAAGGAAGCUGCUAAACAAA
Dermochelys coriacea (leatherback sea turtle) is the source of this 941-nucleotide long non-coding RNA. RefSeq lists it as uncharacterized. The transcript is spliced from 2 exons. The record is from RefSeq and is a predicted model, not a curated record. NCBI's taxonomy places the organism in Eukaryota, Metazoa, Chordata, Testudines, Dermochelyidae.